This 367-nucleotide ribosomal RNA is filed under the name uncultured Hyphomicrobiales bacterium. RNAcentral describes it as "bacterial SSU rRNA". It matches the Rfam family "Bacterial small subunit ribosomal RNA", at positions 1081 to 1451 of the family's 1533-position model. Lineage: Bacteria; Pseudomonadati; Pseudomonadota; Alphaproteobacteria; Hyphomicrobiales. The record is from RNAcentral.
UAAAUCCCGCAACGAGCGCAACCCUCGCUCUUAGUUGCCAUCAUUCAGUUGGNCACUCUAAGGGGACUGCCGGUGAUAAGCUGGAGGAAGGUGGGGAUGACGUCAAGUCCUCAUGGCCCUUACGGGCUGGGCUACACACGUGCUACAAUGGUGGUGACAGUGGGCAGCGAGACCGCGAGGUUGAGCUAAUCUCCAAAAACCAUCUCAGUUCGGAUUGCACUCUGCAACUCGGGUGCAUGAAGUUGGAAUCGCUAGUAAUCGUGGAUCAGCAUGCCACGGUGAAUACGUUCCCGGGCCUUGUACACACCGCCCGUCACACCAUGGGAGUUGGCUUUACCCGAAGGUGCUGUGUAACCGCAAGGAGGCA